UGGGGAAUUUUGGACAAUGGGCGAAAGCCUGAUCCAGCAAUGCCGCGUGUGUGAAGAAGGCCUUCGGGUUGUAAAGCACUUUUGUCCGGAAAGAAAUCCUUGGCUCUAGUACAGUCGGGGGAUGACGGUACCGGAAGAAUAAGCACCGGCUAACUACGUGCCAGCAGCCGCGGUAAUACGUAGGGUGCAAGCGUUAAUCGGAAUUACUGGGCGUAAAGCGUGCGCAGGCGGUUUGCUAAGACCGAUGUGAAAUCCCCGGGCUCAACCUGGGAACUGCAUUGGUGACUGGCAGGCUAGAGUAUGGCAGGAGGGGGGUAGAAUUCCACGUGUAGCAGUGAAAUGCGUNGAGAUGUGGAGGAAUACCGAUGGCGAAGGCAGCCCCCUGGGCCAAUACUGACGCUCAUGCACGAAAGCGUGGGGGAGCAAACAGGAUUAGAUACCCUGGUAGUCCACGCCCUAAACGAUGUCAACUAGUUGUUGGGGAUUCAUUUCCUUAGUAACGUAGCUAA
RNAcentral lists this ribosomal RNA (509 nucleotides) under uncultured bacterium. RNAcentral describes it as "partial 16S ribosomal RNA". It matches the Rfam family "Bacterial small subunit ribosomal RNA", at positions 355 to 855 of the family's 1533-position model. The record is from RNAcentral.